UGUUGGUCGAUUAAGACAG
Molecule: small nuclear RNA, 19 nt
Filed under: Arabidopsis thaliana (thale cress)
Lineage: Eukaryota; Viridiplantae; Streptophyta; Magnoliopsida; Brassicales; Brassicaceae
Description: snRNA_07159
Source: RNAcentral